GGGGAAUUUUGGACAAUGGGGGCAACCCUGAUCCAGGCAUGCCGCGUGAGUGAAGAAGGCCUUCGGGUUGUAAAGCUCUUUCGGCCGGGAAGAAAUCGUGCAGGCUAAUACCCUGUAUGGAUGACGGUACCGGAAUAAGAAGCACCGGCUAACUUCGUGCCAGCAGCCGCGGUAAUACGAAGGGUGCAAGCGUUAAUCGGAAUUACUGGGCGUAAAGCGCGCGUAGGUGGUUUGGUAAGAUGGAUGUGAAAUCCCCGGGCUCAACCUGGGAACUGCAUCCAUAACUGCCUGACUAGAGUACGGUAGAGGGUGGUGGAAUUUCCUGUGUAGCAGUGAAAUGCGUAGAUAUCAGGAGGAACACCGAUGGCGAAGGCAGCCCCCUGGGCCUGUACUGACGCUCAGGCACGAAAGCGUGGGGAGCAAACA
RNAcentral lists this ribosomal RNA (426 nucleotides) under uncultured Azovibrio sp. Its description in RNAcentral is "bacterial SSU rRNA". It matches the Rfam family "Bacterial small subunit ribosomal RNA", at positions 356 to 774 of the family's 1533-position model. The record is from RNAcentral. Lineage: Bacteria; Pseudomonadati; Pseudomonadota; Betaproteobacteria; Rhodocyclales; Rhodocyclaceae.